Molecule: transfer RNA, 74 nt
Filed under: Enterobacteriaceae endosymbiont of Donacia clavipes
Lineage: Bacteria; Pseudomonadati; Pseudomonadota; Gammaproteobacteria; Enterobacterales; Enterobacteriaceae
Description: tRNA-Trp
Rfam family: tRNA
About the family: Transfer RNA (tRNA) molecules are approximately 80 nucleotides in length.
Source: RNAcentral
AGGGGUGUAGUUUAAUUAGGUAGAAUAUUGGUCUCCAAAACCAAUGGUUGGGGGUUCAAAUCCCUCCGCCCCUG